CCUACGGGUGGCUGCAGUGGGGAAUAUUGGGCAAUGGACGCAAGUCUGACCCAGCAACGCCGCGUGAAGGAAGAAGGCUUUCGGGUUGUAAACUUCUUUUAAGGGGGAAGAGCAGAAGACGGUACCCCUUGCCUCAGCCACGGCUAACUACGUGCCAGCAGCCGCGGCAAUACGUAGGUGGCAAGCGUUGGCCGGAUUUACGGGGUGUAAAGGGCGUGCAGCCGGAGAGACAAGGCCGAUGGGAAAUCCACGGGCUCAACCCGUGAACUGCAUUUGAAACUGUGUCCCUUGAGUGUCGGAGAGGUAAUCGGAAUGCCUGGUGUAGCGGUGAAAUGCGUAGAUAUAAGGAAGAACACCAGUGGCGAAGGCGGAUUACUGGACGAUAACUGACGGUGAGGCGCGAAAGCGUGGGGAGCAAACAGGAUUAGAUACCCGUGUAGUC
This 442-nucleotide ribosomal RNA is filed under the name uncultured bacterium. RNAcentral's name for it is "partial 16S ribosomal RNA". It matches the Rfam family "Bacterial small subunit ribosomal RNA", at positions 338 to 795 of the family's 1533-position model. The record is from RNAcentral.